GGCAAGAUGGCCGAGUGGUUAUGGCGGAGGGUUCAAGCUUUGCUUGCCUUGAGAAUCAAGGCUGCUUUCCUCUGGGGCAACCCGCAGGGGUUCGAAUCCCCUUCUUGUCA
This 110-nucleotide transfer RNA is filed under the name Biscogniauxia mediterranea. RNAcentral's name for it is "tRNA-Leu". It matches the Rfam family "tRNA". From Rfam's summary of the family: Transfer RNA (tRNA) molecules are approximately 80 nucleotides in length. Their secondary structure includes four short double-helical elements and three loops (D, anti-codon, and T loops). Lineage: Eukaryota; Fungi; Ascomycota; Sordariomycetes; Xylariales; Xylariaceae. The record is from RNAcentral.